Long non-coding RNA from Cervus elaphus (red deer), 746 nucleotides. RefSeq lists it as uncharacterized. The transcript has 4 exons. NCBI's taxonomy places the organism in Eukaryota, Metazoa, Chordata, Mammalia, Artiodactyla, Cervidae. The record is from RefSeq and is a predicted model, not a curated record.
GCUUCACUGCACAGCAUGUGGGAUCUUAAUUCCCCAACCAAAGACUGAACCCAUGCCUGCUGCAGUGGAAGCAUGGAGCCUUAACCACUGGACCACCAGGGAAGUAGCAAGGACCCUGAUUCAUGUGCAUCAACAUUUCUGUAUGGUGUGAGAAGCAGACUUGCUGGGUCAAGAAGAGGAAUAGUGCAUCACUCUGCCCUCCAGAAGGCUGCUCCCAGGGACAGUUCCUACAGCGUCUUGACAGAAGCAGACAAAUGGGAGGUAGAAAGGAGUCCACUGGAAGGCUCUGAUGCGGCGUGCAGGUGGCCCAGCAGGCCUUGGAGAGGUCACUGUGGGUGUGGUGCUGGAGACUCUGGCAGCAGGAGCCAGCAGACUGUCUUCCGAGGUUGGAAGAAGAUGGUAGUAGACUCAUACUUUACUCCUAGACAUGACAACAUCCACCAGAAGAAAAAGAGACCAUGCCAAGUACCUCCCUGCUGGUUCAGCGAUGAAGAAUUUGCCUGCCAGUGCAGGGGAUACAGGGUUGAUCCCUGGUGUGGGAAGACGCCACAUGCCUUGGAACAACUAAGCCCGAGCACCACCACUACUGAUCCCACGUGCCUAGAGCCCGUGCUCCACGAGAGAAGCCAUGUCAGUGAGGAGCGCGAGCAUCACAAGCAGCCCCCACUCGCCGCUCCUAGGGAAAGCCUGUGCAGAGCAACGAAGACUCAGUGCAACCAGCAAAUAAAUAAAGAAAUAAAAAGAGA